CAAAAAAAAAAAAAGGCAUAAUCUGAAUCAAAUCAUAAAGGAACUGAUAAAACCGAAUUGACUCUUCAAAAAUACCCCUAUCAUGAAAAAUAAAAACUUUUAGGGGGACAUAAAGACUAAAUGCAAUGUAGUAGCCUGGGUUGGCAAGGCAGUUGCUACGAAGGGCACUACUGGACAACUGGUAAAAUUUGGAAAUAGACUAUAUGUUAUAUGAAUCAGAUCAAUGUUACAUUUUCUGAAUUUGAUUGUUGAUUAUGAGAGAAUGGAAUGGCCUUGUUCUUAGUAGAUACAGGCUAAAGGUCAUGAUUUCUACUACUUAUUCUCAGAAGGUGUGAAGCAGUUAAGAUAAAGAAUAAUGUAUACAUUACAUUGUAUAUGUGUGUGUAUAGCUGCAGAAGAAAAACAGAACAAAUUGGCAAGAUGUUAAUAAUAGUUCAAUGUAGGUGAAGAGUUCUGGGAAUUAGCUGUAACACCUGUGCAACUUUUCUGUAGGUCAAAAAGUUUUCUAAUGAACAAGUUUAAUUUUAAAAUUUCAUUAUUUGACUGCAAGUUAGGCCUUAUUUACUUAGCUUGGCCAGAAAAAUCAAUAUUCCUCUCAGCAAGUAUGUAUUGAAGGUCUACUGAGUGCUGGGCACUCUGCUGUGGGUAAAGAAAAAUAAUGUCGUAGACUUUGAAUUACGGUGUAACGCAGGGUCAGCAAACUAAGUUCAGCAGGUUGAACUGGCCUACUGUUUUUGUAAAUAAAGUUUUAUUGGUCGAGAGCUAUGUUCAUUCACUUAUGUACUGUCUUAUGGCUGCUUUUGUCCUCCAACGGCAGAUCUGAGUAAUUGCAAGAGAUACCAUGUGACAUACAAAAUAUAAAAUAUGUACUAUCAGCUCUUUAUGGAAAAUUUUCUACCCUUGGUCUAAUGAUGUAGCAGAAACACAAUUAGUCAUUGCUUGGAGAAAAAAAAUUAAUGGAAAAAGAUAAGCAACAAUUUGAAGGAUCAUAUAAUUUAGUCUUAUAAAUAUACCUCAAGGAACAGGUAUGUCAUUUCAAUUUGUACUUUGUGACAAUACAGUGUUAAUCAGAAAUCUUCCUUUCAAAUAUAGUUUACUAAAUCUUUAGAAAUCCUUAAAUGUUCUUUACUAAGUAUAAAAUUGUUCUACAGCCAUGUUUAAUCUCACAACUGAAUUUAAAGCAAGAAUAAUUUACUAAUGUUCAUUCUAUGACUACUACCAAAAACAUUUUCCUAAAGUACACAUGUAAAUAAAAGAGGGAGCAGUGUGUUCUAUCUUGCAAAUCAGUUACCUAAAUCAUGUUUUCUAAAGUGUAUCUGCCAGUCAGGAGAUCCAUAGUUACCAAAGCUCUUGCAGGUGUGGCUCUCCCAUGUGUCAUAGCUGUGUUGUUUGUUCCCUUCAGUGAGUAAACAUUUUCCUUAUAGUCUUAUUAACUGAACUACUUUACUUAGUAAUCUUUUUUCCUAUGGAUAAUCCAAAUAUAAAAUUUGAGCUAAUCCAGGUCCAAAUUACCACCAAACCCCAAUAAAUGAAGUCUUGAAUUUAUCUGGUCUUGAAGUUAACUUCUUCCAAAAACUACUGAUAGAUUUAAAUGUAAAAAUUACAAUCAACUUUGUGAAUAUAAACUCAAAGCAAUAUAUAAAUUUAAAUAUAAAUAUAAAUUCAUCAGUAAGAUUUUGGAAUGACCAUUUUAGGUAAUUAGCUAGUGACAGGAUUAAACACAUUAGAGGUCACAUGGAUGUUCUUACCCAUUGUUCCAUCAACUGCCUCCUCAUACCUGGUGCUUUAAAACACGAAGUAAAGGGGUACAUUUUGCUUCUGACAUUCCCUUGAGAGUCAGGAACUAGUAGGACAAAAAUUAGUUUACCCACCAAAUACUUAAGAGCAUGCUACGACCUUUAAAUCUUCCAGAGCCUUUAGGAAGUUAAAUCAUCUAAAUAAGUGAUGUUAAAGGAAGCCAAAAGUGGAAGGCAAUGAGAGCACAGUAAUAAAGUAAUGAAUAAAGAUUUUAUCAGACUGUUUAAAUUUAAUCUAACACUUUCAAGUUAGGUGACUGAACAAAUCACUUAACUGUUAGACAAGCCUCAUCGGGCACCCUUUUGCGGAACUGCAUACCUCAAAGGAAUAUUUAUGUAAAGUUAUAUAGCAAAAUGCCCAACACACAGUAUGACAAUAAAUGGUAAUUUAAAAAAUAAGCAAAAUCCAGAAAUUUCUCCCAUCUCCCUUUUGCAGCAAGUUAAAGAGCUUUGUUAGAUGACAUCUAGGAAAAGAAUAUUAAAGUCUACAAGGCCUGAAUUGUAAUCUAGCCUCUGCCACCAUACUAUCUUUAUUUUCUCAUGCUUAAAAUGAAAAGGAUGAAUAUAUAAUUUAUUCUCCAGCUCUUGAUUUCUGUAAUUCUGGGAUCACUAGCUCAGUAAAGGCACAGCAUAACUCAAAUUUUUAAGUUUAUGUGAUCCUCUAGAUGAUACAGCAAACCAAUUAAAAAUAUUAUUCUUUUGUUACUAUAAGACUGACUUAAAAGGGUGAAAUGUGCUUAGCGUGAUUUUUUUAAAAAGCAAGAUGUUGCUUCUCUUAUCCUGGUGGUCAAUAUGAUUAAGAUGAAGUGAAUUUAGUAAUUAUACAGAUGUGCUUUAUUGUACUAGAACCAGCAAGGCAAAUGUCUAAAGAAUUUAAUCAUUUAAACUUUCAUAAAUUGCCACACCUUACCAUAAUUUUAGAUAUCCUAUUUGCAGAUUAGAACAUUACACUUCAAGUAUAUGCCUUGUGAAAUAUUUAUAGCUAAAUUAAACACACCUGGAAUGUCUCUGAGGUACUCUGACUGCUGCCUCCCUUCCCCCAAAAAACUUCAAAUGUUAGAGAAGGAUAAAGGAAAUUUGAAGCUAAAUGGUGGGCGUAUAUGAUGGCUCAUUUGCUUUUGUGUAUGUUAGAAAUUUCCCACUUAGAAAAUUAACAGUAUACACUUUUUAAAAAUGUCAAUGUAAUUCCUCACAUUAAAAAGUAAAAAAGUAAAAAUCAUAGAUGCAGAAAAAGCAUUUGAUGAAAACUGACCUCCAUUCCUAAUUUUAAAAAAGUUCUCAGAAAACUCAGGAAACUUUCUCAACCUAAUAAAAGGCAUUGUGAAAAAGUAAUAAACUGAAUAUCAAAAUUCAAAAUUUCUGCUCCUCAAAUUACACUGGUAAGACACUGAAAAGAUAAGUCAAAACUAGAAAACAGUAUUUGCAAAUCACACAUCUAAAAAAGGACUUGUAUCUGAACUAUAUAUAAGAAAACAAAUUACCCUCCCCACACCAAAAUGCACAAAACAUAGGAACAGACACUAUACCAAAAAAGAUAUAUAGAUGGCAAGUGAUCGCAUGAAAAGAUGAGCAUCAUUAGUCAUUAAGAAAAUACAAACUUAAAACUACAAACCAUCACACACUUAACAGGAUAGCUAAAAUGAAAACUACCCAUCCAAGCAUUGCCAAGGAUGUGGAACACCUCUAAUUCUCACACACUGCUGGUGGCAAUGUACAAUGGUACAACCACUUUGGAAAACAGACUAGCAGUUCCUCAAAAAGUCAAAUAGCUAUUCCACUCCUAGGUAUAUACACAAGAGAAAAUAUUUACAUCCACAACAAAACUUGUAUAUGAAUGCCCACAGCAGCCUUAUUUGUAGUAGCCCAAAACAGCUAUCUUUUCUUUAAAGAUAGAAAACAGCUGAGAAAAGUUACAUAGCCUUCUAGAGAUUUUAUAGUGAAUAAAUGGCAGGGGUCAGAAUUUAAGAUGUAAAGGUUUAUGAGGCCCAGUGCUCAAAUGCCAACCAAACUGGUAUCAAAUAGGCCAGAAAACUCUAAAAAUAAGGAGCUAAGAAGGCUUGACUUAAAAAUUAGAGGGGGUCAGCGGAUAGAUUUGGAAAGGGAAAACCUCACAUGAUCUGCUGGCUGAAAGAUCUGUGAAGUACCCUCUUAUUAGUUGUAGGGAAUACGGGCCUUUUUAACCACCUUAGCUAAAACUCCACGGACGUGCUAUGCCUUCUUCUUCCCAAUACAUUAAAUGAGGUUUAUUUUCAGAUCCAAAUUCAAAGCAAAACAACACCCAAAUUCAAGUCUCAGGGACUGGCCGCCCUAUCAUGUAGCUGAUAUCAAAAAUCCUUUGUCAUCACCAGAGGAAAAUCCACAACUCCAAAAUAUAAGGCAAACACAGGAGUGAAGUAACAACAGUUUAAUGAAAAUAUAAAUUCUUUGUUUUGAAUGAAAGGAGGAACUGAGGCAAAAGGGCCAGAAAUAACAAACUAGUGAUCAAAUGCAGCAGACUGAUGAACUUUACCUAGCGCAGCCUGUGUGUCUUUCACAGAUAUUCAGGUCUCUUUACAUUUGGGGUUUUUGUAUGGUACUACAAGCCCAGGCAGCUCACAUGCAUAUUUACAAAGGGUUUUCCCUCUUUUUCCUUUUUAAAAAAAUUCCACACAGGAACUAUUACCCAAGGCAUCAUUUUCUGAUUCUAUACACAAAGGAGUACCACAAAAACCAUUUUAAAGCACUUUUUCCUACAAUAUGAAUUCUAUUACCUCUAAAUAAAGACUUCUCCUGUCCAGUCUUGUUGAUAGCAAUCAAAACAUGCUACCAAGUCUCAUGACUCACUCUUCCAAAUCCCUAUUUAACAACACUUCUAAAUAUCAUGACUUUCAAGGGCACCUUCUCCGGGUUUUUGACUGAUUCCCUGGGCACUACUGGACACAACCCCCGUUUUUUAUUUCUUAGUUCCCUAGGUGGCAAGGACUCUGAGCUUAUCAAAACUAGUUUUCAAACUUAGUCUGAGGGCCCAGAGACUCUCUGAAAGGCACAUAGUUUAGGUAGUUACAUACAAUUAGUUUUAGACCCCUCAUUAAUUCACUGCAUUUCAAUACUGCCCUCAAACCUGAAAAACAAUAUAAUAUAAAAGGAUUCCAAAGCUUCAACAAAUAGGACAAAUUCCGUGGAUAUGGUAUAUUCCAUAAUACAGCUCCAAAAGCUCUUCACCAUCAUGCUAGUUAAAGCUGAAAGAAAAGUUAACAUAAAGACUGUAAGCUCUAUUACACCCAAGCUUCAUUCUAAUGAUCUCUCUCUCUAGGUUAAUUAAAACAUAUGCAGCAUGCUAGAUUAAUCUCCAAGGGCAUUUUAAGCAUGUUUUCAAACAAGUUGCCUAUAUGACAACCUAGGGAUGUUCAAUGUUGUAAACUGGACAAUUUAAGAAAAGACAGUAUUUAAAUACAGUAUUUAGAAUCAGGAAGUCUCACUUGAAAUCCUGGCUGGUACUUAGUAGGAGUUUUUGUUUCUUGGGAAAAUAAUUUAGUCCCUUUGCCCAUCACUAAAUUUAUUUAUUAAAAUCAGAAUACCAUGGCCUACACAUUACAGGACUUCUGUGAAGAAUAAACUGUGUAUGAAAGGUACUGUAAACUGUUAAGUGUUAUGUAAUCAUUCUUUUAAAAUAAUAUUCUUCAAAGUAUUACUACACUGAUAAAAAUUUAAAUUUUAAUCAAAUUCCAACAAAAUUAUUUUUAUAAGCAUUAAUUCAUCACAUAUUACUGUAUCUUAAGUCCUAUCUCAUCUAUUUUAGAAAUCUAGCAACUUAAAUGUAAGUCAGAAUUGCAUCUUUGGAAAACUGACAGAAUUUAAAAUAUCUUUCUCUGAAAGCCUAUCUGUACUUUUGCACUGCCUUCCAUUAUUGAAGGAAGAGAGGGUUUACCCAAAUUGGCAGUCACUCUGCUGAAGCAUCUAUUCAAACUGAGGAUUGCUUUCACUUUGAAAUUCAAAAUAUAUUUCAUAGUACAAUAUUUAAAGAAUCACUUUUAAACUAAAACAAACUUAUUCAUUGUAUUAUUCUCCUAAACUUAGUAGUACCUGAUGAUUUUAUUUGCUUACCUUUAUGACCUUUUGAUAUGUACAUACAUUGUACCACUUUUCACAUUAGAAUUUUGUUUCUUUUCCUCCAAAAUCAAGUUCAGUCUUUGACCAAUCCUUUUCACCAUUCUACCCACUUUUCUACUGACUUUAUACAGAGACUCUGCCGUUUAAACAAAAGACCUGAGACUCUAAGUAAGGUCUAACAGAGGCCUCCUUCAAGAUCUAGGCCCUGCCCAGGUCCAUUUUGGGUAUACAACAGUAUUUACACUCUCCUGUCUUUGUCUUGGUUCUACAUUUAGGUAAGGCAACAAGGAUUCUAAAAUUUGAGCAUAAAAUAAUUCCUUCCCAUCUCAAAGGACAACUUAGACCUAGCCUGGCUGGAGUGGCAGGAUCUGGUGCACAACUACCCCACUGACAGGCCUCCACAUCAGUGCCUGAGACAGAAAAUCAAGCUCAUAAGAUAGUGUGGUUGUAGGGGCAGCCCAAACACCAUUCUCUAACAUCUCCGGUCCUUUACCUUUCCAGUUACUCCAGGAUUUGACAAGCUUUUUCAUUCCCUAACCAACCAUCUCACCCUCCACCUAGGGCACAAUAGCCAGAUUUCCCCCUCAUUCCUCCCCUUCACAACAUACAGCAAGUGGUCCUUCAACUGAGCAUAUCUAAAGGUCUUUUGUUCCUGAAUAUUCUGGGUCAAGGUAUCACCUGUAAAAACUUUACCAACUGAGAAAAAUAAGAAAUUAUUCUAAUAAGGCUUUAACUAAAUUAUAAAUAUACAAGUAACUAUUUGUGCCUUCAAAUGUCUAACAUUUUAUCCUAAAUUAAAAUACACUGAGAACAGAACCCUAAAAAAAUUAAUUGCAAGCAUUAGCAGCGGCUAUGAAUAUAUAAUUCUGCAGCAUAAUGUCCAACAGUAUUUCCUUCUCUGCUCCUCCUUUUGAACUUCCUCUUUACUAGUAACACCAAAGACGUAAUAGUCACUAUUUACCAAAUACUUUUCUAAGUGCUUUACAUGCAUUCAUUUAUGUACAGCUCUAAACAACUCUGUAAGGCAGGUAAUAUUUAUCAUGCCUGUUAACAAAUGACAAAACUUAGGCAUGAAGAAGUUAAGUGAGUUGCAGGAGUCUGUCCAAAGUGACGAUGCAAAGGCUGGGACAAAGCGGUCUGGCUCUAGAGUCUUGUUUACUCAAACUGGCCUUGAUAUCUUCACUAUCACACUUACAUUAAAAUUGUCUGUAAACCACUAGAGGGCAUGGAUUGUGAUCAUCCUUUGCACAGCUAUCUGCCCAAUACUGAGCAGAAGUCUUAAGGCUCAUGAAUAAAUCAUUGUUGAGUUCUUCACCAGCAUGCUUUCCCCGCUAGACUAUGCUCCUUAAGGGUUAACCAGGAAACUGACACUAGAGCUCAUCCUUUAGGAGUGCGUGGCACUUAAGUGAAAAUAAAUGAAUACACGGUUUUUGCUUUGGACAGUUCCAGACACCUGCUGAAUGAAUAUACUUUCUAUUUACAACGUCUUAACGCUAAAUACAAGAAUGAGAAGCCCAGUCUGAGAUAACAAUCAGAGCCACCUCUCCAGUCCUAACUUUGCAAGAAAUCAAUAGCUGCCUUAACAUUUAAAACUUACUAGUAGGCAGGUACGUGGUCUAAGGUAGAACAUUAAAGGAAAUGUAAAAGUUGUUUCGCUCCCUUAGAGAGCUUUUUACUUAAAAGACGAAAACAAACCCAGACUUAGCGAAAAUUUAUGUACUUUUUUUUUACUUUUAAAAUAUUUACUCUGUUUAGAGUAUCCUUCUAAACAGCAAAAUCCCCUUACUUCACUCAUAACACCCAGGAAUUUAUGAAUUAAGCUUAAUUUGGGCAAGGGAAACCACAUCGGACAAUGCUAAGGAUAAACUAUACAAUAUUCAAAAGAGCAGUUUCAAACUGCAACCAUCUCCGAAUUACUUACAUAGGUAUUGGCCACAGUAAAUCUCAGCAUCAGGCAGGCUUUCCCCUAAAUACAAAUUCUACCAUGGUUAUCACCCUCUGAUGCUUAGAAAAGCACAUAGGAAAUACACAAUUCCUUUCUAAAUAGCAAUUCCUUCCUGAAACUAUUCUGGAAACAAUGUCAAAGUUGUUUUUAACAAAAGAAUUGACUCUCUUAAAACUUCGAUUUCUCAAAGAUGUAAUUUAAUUAUUUAAGGCGAUCUGGAUGAUUUGUGAACAUUUGCCUUAAAGAAUCAGACCUCUAACUCCGCCCAAGGCCACACCUUCGGGCCUUCCAGUAAUUCACAAAUCAAAUGGGUAUGGGGUGAUCUUAAAACAGUCCAGAGCUAAAGUGAAAUUACAGGUAUGCAAUCGCUAUAGAACCAGAAAGGGGGCAACCGAACUGAGAGGGCUGAACAGGGACCAGGCUUUCUCUCUACAGCCGGCUGCUGUGUAAUACUUGCGAGCAACUCUAAGAAAAACACACCUUCCUUCCUAACAACCUCUUCCUUUCCCGGGGAAGGGGUAGGGGUGUCCGCGGAAGGCACGCAAAGGAAACAAACACACCCAAAAUCCCGUUUCAAAAUUCUGCCCCACCAGUUUUUUCUUCCAGAACUGCCGGCCCGGCAGUCCCCGAGCCCUCAGGAGAUUUGGGGGUGACAAGGGGUGGGCGAUGGGGCAGACGAGCCUGGGCACUCAGCGGGGCAUCUCUCCACCAGCGGGACACCGUUUCCUCAGCCAAGCGCAAUUCUCCCUCAAAAUCGCGACCGCGGCCGACCCAGGGCCACGCCUCGCCGGUCUCGUCCACCCCGCCGGGCCGGGCCCAGGCCGCCGCCGCCGCCCUCCCUUCCUUCCCGGCCGCUCCCGCGGGCCGCCGGCGACGGCAACAGCGAGGCAGGCUCACUCACAUCCGUCCGCGUCCUCCUGCAGGUCCUCCUGGAGCAGCGACAGGUCUGCGCCGAGAGGAGAGAAGAAAGGCCCGAAUGUCCUUAUGUGAAUUCAGCUGACACUUUCAAAACGGCAAGGAGUUAGAAAUUCACAAACUAUCGACAGAAAUCAGUCCCAACUGACUCAACCCAUGAGAGUUGUGCCCCACUGCUACUACACGUCUUGCAGACACCUAACCACUUUAGCAAUUACGGGUUGACACAAUUCUCAGGAGUUGAAGGCUGCCUGUGGAAAGCAACAGAACACAACUUCUGUCCCCAGAUCAGCCACCGCCGCGGUUUCUUGACAUAGGCUGGUUUUGAACUGAAUAGUGUCCUGUUAUAACCACUACUGUAAGCUGAGUAUAAAGGAAAAUAAAUCCUCUGUUUCUUAUCCACCAUAGUAAGUACUCCAGUGCUUUUUCAGUGCUCCAGGUUUGUAUAGCCAAAAAGAUUCUCCUCUGAGAAUUCUGUAGUUAUUCCAGCCGAUGUAUGGCAUCCUAUAUAAUUCAUUUCAUUGGAAAAAGUAAGAUAUGAAAACAGCGAGCAUUAAGUGGAUCAAAAUAGCAGUGUUAAUUUUCCUUAUGCCUUUUUCUUAAAAUGCAGAAAGCGUUAGUUGCAGUCACAUUCAAAGUAAUGUGGAGAGCCUACCCGAGAGUGUGUGUGCUGAAGAAAUGCUUAUAAUUCUGAAUCUGGAUGGAUGACUCAAGUUGAACCAGGAAAAAGCUAUAAGCAAACCACGUAUUGAAAUCCAGAUAAGUUCAGUGAUUAAACUAUGCCUUGAUUAUAAGGUCCCUCCACAGCAAGGCUGUCCUGUGGUUCUAUGUUUCAGAAGUUGCUCCUAUUCUAAUUUCACUUCUGUGUAACUCUGUAACCAAACUGCUUGUGUUCCUGGUUCUUGAUUCCUUUGGUAAGAAAAGCAUUAGCACAAAUGAUGCAAUACAAUUCAUACACAAGAUAGCUAAUACAUUUGUUAACUUUUUAUUUUGAAAUAAUUGCAGAUUUACAGGAAGUUGCAAGAAAAAAAUGUACAGGGAGGUUCUGUGUACCCUUCACCCAGUUUCCCCCACUGGCAAUAUAAGUACAUUUUGAGACAUUUUUGAAAUGCAUGUGCCAGGCAUUUAUGCUAAGUGCCUUUAUGUACUUCCUGAUAUAACCCUUAAAACUACCCUGUGAAGUAGGUAUUGAUCUUUCAAUACCUGCAUUUUAAAAAUACAGGAAACUGAAGCUCAAAGAGGUUAAGUACUUUGACAAAAGUCAGAUAGCAAAUAGAACAGUUGAAUUCAAAGAUUGGAAUCCUGAUUGAAAAUAAUGGUAACAGCACUUGUUUAUCAUCACGUGAACGACUUUUCCAUCAGAACUGUCCCUCAGCCAUUUUCUCUGGCAUCAGGAGAGCCCUUGUCCUUUCACAUGUAUGGUUUUGGUAUCCCCUUUAAUUCCAACUAGGCCAUCACAAUUCCCUGCCAAUUUUGCCAUGCAGACAUUUUAAGUUACCCUGUCACUUUUUCCUCAUCUAACAUUCUGAUCAAAGUGUUAACUACUUCAAAAUCAUACUACCAACUUUCUCACUAGCCUUUUUCAAUUUAUUCUGGCCAGGGAUGCAAAAUUUAUCUAUCUUGUGUAACAUUUUGUUCAUAUCAGUUAUGGGAAAAUCUUAAACAUGUGACUUAAUAUUGUUUUCCUAGUAACUAGACUUAUUGUGGCAAUCAUUCCACAAUGUACACUAUAUGUGUGUACUAUACCAAUGUUAAAUUACACUAUAUUGUACAUCUGAAACCAAUAUAUACAACAGUUAUACCCAAAAAAGGUGAAAAGCAAAAUGUUUCCUACUAAAUGACCUUUGCUUCCUUAGCUACCAUGUACCACCAUUUAACUCUUGUUUUAAGUUAUCCUGGGUUAAGACAGUCUUGAACUCAGGUGCCAACUCAUUUCUCCUUCAAACCAUGUUAUUGGGGUGGUUUUUUUUGGGUGUUUUUGCUAUUGCUAUUGUUGCUGUUGGGCAGGGGAAGAGGAGGAAAGAUUCUACAUUUUUAUAACAUUCUUUUUAUAUUUUUCUAAUUUUGAAAGUACAUGUUCUUGGAAAAUCUGGAAAAAGGAUAAAGAAAAAGUUGGGAUUGCCAAAAAUCCCCCAAUUUGGUGAUUAUAUCAAAGAACAUUAGUGUACCUUUACCUCUUUAAGCUUUCACAUUCCUACGUAAAAAUUUUAAACAUCUUUACUGAGAUAUAAAUCACAUACUGUAAAAUUCACCCAUUUAAAGUGCACAGAUGAGUGGUUUUAGAAUAUUCAGUUAUACCAUUAUCACCCCGUCUAAUUUGAGAAUAUUUCAUCACUCCCAUCCCAAAAAUGUACCCAUUAGCCAUCCCUCCCCAUUCACAACAUAGUCCUAAGCAACCAGUCAUGUUUCCUGUUUGUAUGGAUUUGCCUGUUUUAGACGUUCUGUAUAAAGGGAUUCAUGCAAUAUGUGGUCUUUUGUGAUUGACUUCUUUCACUUAGCAUAGUUUUUUCAAGUUUCACAUAUGUUGUAGUAUGUAUCAGUAUUUCAUUCCUUUCUGUUUAUGAAUAAUACUUCAUUGUACAGAUAUGCAACAUUUUAUUUGCCCCUUCACUGUUGGUGGACACUUGGGUUGUUUCUACUUCUUAGCUAUUGUGAAUAAUGCUGCUAUAAACAUUCAUGUAUAAGUUUUGGGGUAGAUUUUUGCUUUCAGUUCAUUUGGGUAUAUACCCAGAAGUGGAAUUGGUGGAUCAUAUAGCAAUAUAGCAACUACUUUCAAUAUCUUGAGGAACUACCAACUGUUGGCCAAAGUAGCCACAUCAUUUUCUAUUCCCUUCAGUAAUGUAUGAAGGUUCCAAUCCCUCCACAUCCUCCUUCAUAAAAUGUGCCUCUUCCAAAGUAAAGCUGUCAUUAAUCACAAAUGAGGAGAAUGUAUAUGUGGAAAAUACAAGACUCUACAAAUAAGGUAUUAAGAAAUAAAUUUAGCACAGUCACUGGACAGAAGGUCAAUCCUAAGUAUUUCAGUACCCAGUAAUUAUACAUAGAAUUUUUAAAUUUAAUACCUCUUAACAAUAACAUUUAAAAAGUCAAAUCCUAGAAAUGAAUCUAAUGAAAGAUCGGCAGGACCAUUACAUAGACAACUAGAAAACAUUAGUGGGAGAAAUUUAUUUUUUAAAUCUUAAGUAAAAUGUAAGGUUACAUCAAGGCUAUGAUUAGAAAACUCUAUUUUGUUAAGAUGUCAAUUGUCUUGGAUUCAAUUAAUUUCCAACUGAUUAGAGAUCCAAUUCAUUCCCAAAGUGGGAGUGGUUUUUGCAUGUGUGUAGAUGUUGAUAAUCUGAUUCUAAACGUCUGUAUGGAUGUGCAAAGGGCAAAGUCUAGAAUAACAGAUAAUUUUGAAGAACAACAAAAUUAAAGGAACUUCCUCUUGGAUAUCCAAGCUUACAUUAAAGCUACAAAAAUUAGGGAGUAUGGUGUUGGAGUGAACAUAAGCAAAUAGACUAAUAAUAUGAAUAGUCCAGUAAUAGACCCCCACCUGGAUGAAUGCCUGGGUUAUGACGACAGUGUCAAUGUAGAGUGGUGAGAGGAAGACAAAAGUAGCCCUGUAGAGCUGUAACAGAAAGCAGAUGCUGAGUCCACCGGAGUGAAAUAGGAGGAAUAAAAACUUGAUCCCUACCUCACUCCAUACACAAAAAUCAAUUCUAGACUGAUUAAGAUACAAAUAUGAAAGUAAAACAAUAAAGCUUCAAAAGAUGACAGGAGAAUAGCUUCUUGGCCUUGGGAUAGGGAAUGGUUUUUUAAACAGACACACUAACACUGACCCAUGAGGGAAAAAGAUAAAUUGGACUGUAUUAGAACUUCUCCAAAUACACUAUUAAGUGAUUGUCAAUAGUCAUCCAAAUACACUAUUAAGAGACUGAUAAUAAAAGCUAUCAAGUGGAAGAAAAUUGCAACACACAUAACUGAAAAGGUUUAUAGUCAGAAUAUACAAAGAAUUAUUCAUCUAUAAGAAAAGGGCAGACAAUUCAAUAGGAAAAUGGAUGAGAGGUAUUGACAGGUUGUUCUUAAAAGAGCAUAGCCACAUGGCUAAUACAUACAUACAUGAAAAAGAUGCUUAAUCUCAUUUUUUCUUAUUAAGGUAUCAUUGAUAUACACUCUUAUGAAGGUUUCACAUGAAAAACAUUGUGGUUACUACAUUCACACAUAUUAUCAAGUACCCCCCCACACCCCAUUGCAGUCACUGGCCAUCAGUAGAGUAAGAUGCCACAGAAUCACUACUUGUCUUCUCUGUGCUUUUCUGUCUUCCGCAUGAUGCCUCCCAAACACCAUGUGUGCCAAUCAUAAUACCCCUUAUUCC
Long non-coding RNA from Manis pentadactyla (Chinese pangolin), 13096 nucleotides. RefSeq lists it as uncharacterized. The transcript has 4 exons. The record is from RefSeq and is a predicted model, not a curated record. NCBI's taxonomy places the organism in Eukaryota, Metazoa, Chordata, Mammalia, Pholidota, Manidae.